Long non-coding RNA from Choloepus didactylus (southern two-toed sloth), 339 nucleotides. RefSeq lists it as uncharacterized. NCBI's taxonomy places the organism in Eukaryota, Metazoa, Chordata, Mammalia, Pilosa, Megalonychidae. The transcript has 3 exons. The record is from RefSeq and is a predicted model, not a curated record.
AAGGAGUCCACGGGAAAGAAUUGCAGGCGAGGUUGAGAAUAAAGUGUGCUCCAGGUGAGACAGCCACAUCGGUGAGGUGGAGAAGAGAAUUGACGAGACAAAUUUCAAAUGGUGGGCUGGCAAAGCAAGAAGGACUGCAAGUGGUUAUUUUUGGCCUUGUGCUCUAAUGUCUGAUGCAACAAUUCCCCUUAUGGACUCACCUAGAAAUGCAAUCACUUUCUUUGUCAGGGACAUGCACAUGUAGAAUAUUCAUCUAAAGGACAGCUGUUCAGGGUUUGCUCCCUACAGCAUGGGAGGUGGACAGAAAUGCAGAAUUUCUGACUACACGAAGAUCACCAG